GCGAAACUUCUUUCUCUAUUUCGAAUCACUCGUUGUGCUUUUAAUUUUAUCAUCCUUUCGCUUUCUGCAUUUCUUUGUCGAUGCGGUAGCACAAAGUGACAUGGCAAACUGUAAUUGGCAUUAGGUAUAUGAGGUGGCCGAUUGCCUGAUUGAGAUUGUAACCUUUUGUUUUUCUUUUCCUUUUUGUUUCCGUGGGGGGUAGAGCUGCUCACCUGUUACAGGUUUAGCACAAGUAAACA
RNAcentral lists this long non-coding RNA (239 nucleotides) under Brachypodium distachyon (stiff brome). RNAcentral's name for it is "long non-coding RNA (BDIS_LNC000586)". The record is from RNAcentral. Lineage: Eukaryota; Viridiplantae; Streptophyta; Magnoliopsida; Poales; Poaceae.